Carassius carassius (crucian carp) is the source of this 217-nucleotide long non-coding RNA. RefSeq lists it as uncharacterized. The record is from RefSeq and is a predicted model, not a curated record. NCBI's taxonomy places the organism in Eukaryota, Metazoa, Chordata, Actinopteri, Cypriniformes, Cyprinidae. The transcript has 2 exons.
AAUAAAAGUAUCCAUUUAGAAUGCACUUGUUAAGAUCCAUGCAUUUAGUUUGGGGUCUCCGUACACACCUGCAGCGGGUUCGGCUGGUGGGGCUUCAGCAGGGGGUGCUUCAGCAGGAGGUGCCUCCACCGGGGCUCCUUCAGCGGGUGCUGCCUCCGCUGGAGCAGCUUCGGCGGGGGCUGGUUCAGCGGGCGCGGGCUCAGGUGCGGGAGCAGGC